Astatotilapia calliptera (eastern happy) is the source of this 542-nucleotide long non-coding RNA. Lineage: Eukaryota; Metazoa; Chordata; Actinopteri; Cichliformes; Cichlidae. The record is from Ensembl.
GCGGAAGAUGGCCAGCUUUUCCUUAUAAUCCGCUGGAAGUUGCUGCGCUACCGUAGUCCUGGUCCGGAUGGAAAAAUGGCACCGUUUCAUAAAAAGUGAAAGUGAAACUGCUUUUAGCCGAAUGGUGACCGUCGAAACGCUUCUCCCGCUCGUUCUUUGCUCGAUGAUCCACCGCUCGAGUCUUUCCUCCAACUCGGACACACUUCACCCUUUAGCGUUCUCAUUGUGUUCUCUACUACGUCCUCAUUACAACACACAGGGCGCACUGCGCUAUAGGGCGCGCCGUACUUUUUGAAGAAAAUCUAAGACUUUUAAGUGCGCCUUAUGGUCGUGAAAAUACGGUAGAUCACAUGGAGGGUCGAUGGGCAGAGUUUUGAUCGAAGGUGCAGUUCUUUGGCAUUUAGAAGAAGGUCCUGAAACCUCCUCUCCCCUUGGAGUGCCAGUGAGGCUCUCCUUCAUAUCCUCAAGCCGGGUGAAGAUGAUAUACCUGGAGAAGCGGCCUCUCUCCUCCCCAGUGCUGCUUUUUGCUGGGACAACCAGCA